This 568-nucleotide ribosomal RNA is filed under the name uncultured bacterium. RNAcentral's name for it is "bacterial SSU rRNA". It matches the Rfam family "Bacterial small subunit ribosomal RNA", at positions 358 to 916 of the family's 1533-position model. The record is from RNAcentral.
GGAAUAUUGCGCAAUGGGCGAAAGCCUGACGCAGCAACGCCGCGUGAGUGAUGAAGGCCUUCGGGUUGUAAAGCUCUUUCGGUUGGGAAGAAGGGUGUGCGUACUAAUAAUGCGUACAUUUGAUGGUACCAAAAGAAGAAGCACCGGCUAACUUCGUGCCAGCAGCCGCGGUAAUACGAAGGGUGCGAGCGUUGUUCGGAAUGACUGGGCGUAAAGGGUUCGUAGGCGGGAGAGCAAGUUAAGUGUGAAAUCCCCGGGCUUAACCCGGGACGUGCACUUAAAACUGCUUUUCUUGAGUCGAGGAGAGGGUGAUGGAAUUGCUGGUGUAGGAGUGACAUCCGUAGAGAUCAGCAGGAACACCGGAGGCGAAGGCGAUCACCUGGCCGAAGACUGACGCUGAGGAACGAAAGCGUGGGGAGCAAACAGGAUUAGAUACCCUGGUAGUCCACGCCGUAAACGAUGAUAACUAGAUGUUGCGGGAAUUGACCCCUGCAGUAUCGCAGCUCACGCAUUAAGUUAUCCGCCUGGGGAGUACGGCCGCAAGGCUAAAACUCAAAUGAAUUGACGG